GACGAACGCUGGCGGCGUGCUUAACACAUGCAAGUCGAACGGAAAGGCCCUGCUUUUGUGGGGUGCUCGAGUGGCGAACGGGUGAGUAACACGUGAGUAACCUGCCCUUGACUUUGGGAUAACUUCAGGAAACUGGGGCUAAUACCGGAUAGGAGCUCCUGCUGCAUGGUGGGGGUUGGAAAGUUUCGGCGGUUGGGGAUGGACUCGCGGCUUAUCAGCUUGUUGGUGGGGUAGUGGCUUACCAAGGCUUUGACGGGUAGCCGGCCUGAGAGGGUGACCGGCCACAUUGGGACUGAGAUACGGCCCGGACUCCUACGGGAGGCAGCAGUGGGGAAUAUUGCACAGUGGGCGGGAGCCUGAUGCAGCAACGCCGCGUGCGGGAUGACGGCCUUCGGGUUGUAAACCGCUUUCGCCUGUGACGAAGCGUGAGUGACGGUAAUGGGUAAAGAAGCACCGGCUAACUACGUG
This 468-nucleotide ribosomal RNA is filed under the name uncultured bacterium. Its description in RNAcentral is "partial 16S ribosomal RNA". It matches the Rfam family "Bacterial small subunit ribosomal RNA", at positions 28 to 507 of the family's 1533-position model. The record is from RNAcentral.